Molecule: non-coding RNA, 228 nt
Organism: Cinara cedri
Lineage: Eukaryota; Metazoa; Arthropoda; Insecta; Hemiptera; Aphididae
Source: the annotation of a GenBank genome assembly
AGAAUAGAUAAUGAUUUUAUAAUGUAUAAACCGACAAAAUCGAUAAGAUAAAAAUGCGCGUAUCUAACUUGGAAAAUAUAGAACAAAUAAAAUAUAGGUAAACGAUAAAACAAUUUUUAAAAAAUACAUCUUAUUUUGUCGUACCUACGUCGGUUUUUAUUGUGCAGUAGAUCAGGCACACCGGGAUUAGUCGUGCGAAAAAGAAUCAUGAAACGGCGUCCUCGUCGU